Non-coding RNA from Musa acuminata subsp. malaccensis (wild Malaysian banana), 1357 nucleotides. Lineage: Eukaryota; Viridiplantae; Streptophyta; Magnoliopsida; Zingiberales; Musaceae. The record is from RefSeq and is a predicted model, not a curated record.
CUGUCGGCUUCCUUUUCCGUGGGGUUAACGCUCGGGAUUCGCGAGAUGCAGUAAGAAUCCAUUGCUCUAUAGAUCAAUGAUCUCUUAUGGGAACAAGAAAUCAGUCGUUUCCUCAUCGCUCCUAUAUGUGUCUCCAUUAUUUAGUUGCUGUAUCUAAGGUCUGAGCAUCUUAAAUAAUAAAUGUUCAUCAUUACGAGCAUUAUAAUACAAUUUGAUCUCCAAGAGGAAUCUUGUUCAAUCAUUGAGCUUUAAUAACUCACCGACCUUGUUGCUUUUCUAAUGAAGGAAGACUAGAUUUAUAUCAAGUGGCAAAUGGAGAACUGCUUGAUGGAGUCAUCCCUCCUCUCCCGGGUCUUAGACCAAUAAAUGUUGAAAUGCUUAAUCUGCCUUUCGAAGAAGAUUUCUUGCAGGUGUUAAGAGGUCGUGCUAGCCACCUUGCUAAAUGCAGAUGAUGAGUGAUGAUAUGUGCCACAAUUUGGUACACGACAGAAGGAUUGAGGGCUUGAGUUAAUGUCGAGAAUUGGCAUACUAAAUUAUCGGAAAUUACUUCUUUGACUAUAGAGGUAAGACAACGUACAUUGAUCGUCACUGUAGCCUCUCUAUUGGUAUGAGACUCGUGCAUGGAUUUUGGCCAAUAAUAUACUUCAUCAUACAUACCUGCCACAAAAUGGGCUAGUUAUGGUCAGACCAUCAAGCUCUGACAAGAUCCAACAAAUGGCCCUUUGGAGAGCUUGCCAACUCCAUAAGCUGGUAAGCGUACAAUCCUAUGGAGUGUUUGGACCACUGCUAUAGCUCCCUAAAAACACCAAAUCUUAUGUUGCAUGGGUUGAUCAAUGGGCACUAUCUCUCACUCUCUGAGAACAUCUUCUGAAGUUUUCUUAGAUUUGGCAGUCAUUGUUAUCAUAGAGAAUUUACAUUCUUGUUUGGUUUUGAGAGUGAAGAAAAACAUGCUCAUUUCAUGUUGGCAACUGACUCCACCUCCAUCUUCUUCACAGGGACCUUUUCCUCCAUACCCAUGGCAGGAGCACUCCUCAGCAGAAAACAACUUCUCGUGCAUCAUUAUGCUUGAAAGAUGGUAAAGGCAGCCUGAACUGUCACACAAGGUAAAAACUAGGAAAGUUCCAUCUCCUCUGCACUGAAACAUCAUACUCUAGGAGAAAAAAUGGAGCCAUGCAUCCACUUGAAGUAUGAAUAUUGUUGAUGCAAGAUGUUUGAGCAUUUGUUCUUGUUUGUUAUGAGGCACAAUAGCAAUGUCUUUUGUUGAUGAACGUCGUUGCAGCAAACAUUUUAGAGAUGACAAUCAAAACUUUGGACAGAAGGAAUCCUUUUCCUUAUUGAAAGGAGAUGAAUUAUUUUC